Molecule: long non-coding RNA, 396 nt
Organism: Hyla sarda
Lineage: Eukaryota; Metazoa; Chordata; Amphibia; Anura; Hylidae
Exons: 3
Source: RefSeq, a predicted model, not a curated record
GAUGUCUUCGCUGCUGUUUCUCUGCUGGGCCCUGCUGUGAGGAAGAUCCACCCAUACUGGCUCCAGAAACGAAAACAAUUGAAAAAGAUAGCGGAAGAACCAGAGAAUGAGACCAGUUACUUAGUGCACUUUAAGAUUUCACGGACGACAGGUGGAGUGACGGCACAGAGAGCGCCAGGUAUAACAAUGCUCGAAGAUGAUGCCCAGCAGGCUUGAGAAAGGGGGCAAGACCACGAAAGGAGCGCUGCCUCGUCUCUGCCGUCCAGCGGCUUUAUGCCGACCUCUGCUCCCUACCAUCACACUGAGAUGAACUGAUCGUCACAGACGCAACAAGGUUUACAGACAUAUACGAGCACGUGGCAGGAUAGGAGGUACUCCUGCAUGAGGAAAGAAGAU